RNAcentral lists this ribosomal RNA (346 nucleotides) under uncultured bacterium. RNAcentral's name for it is "partial 16S ribosomal RNA". It matches the Rfam family "Bacterial small subunit ribosomal RNA", at positions 338 to 681 of the family's 1533-position model. The record is from RNAcentral.
CCUACGGGUGGCAGCAGUGAGGAAGAUUGGUCAAUGGGCGCGAGCCUGAACCAGCCAAGUAGCGUGAAGGAUGACUGCCCUACGGGUUGUAAACUUCUUUUAUAAAGGAAUAAAGUGAGGCACGUGUGCCGUUUUGUAUGUACGUUAUGAAUAAGGAUCGGCUAACUCCGUGCCAGCAGCCGCGGUAAUACGGAGGUUCCGAGCGUUAUCCGGAUUUAAUGGGUUUAAAGGGAGCGUAGAGGGGUUGUUAAGUCAGUUGUGAAAGUUUGCGGCUCCACCGGAAAAUUGCAAUUGAUACUGGCAGCCUUUCGUUCAGUUGAGGUCGGCGGACUUCGUGGUGUAGCGG